RNAcentral lists this unclassified non-coding RNA (235 nucleotides) under uncultured Cryomorphaceae bacterium. RNAcentral describes it as "16S-23S ribosomal RNA intergenic spacer". The record is from RNAcentral. Lineage: Bacteria; Pseudomonadati; Bacteroidota; Flavobacteriia; Flavobacteriales; Cryomorphaceae.
UGAGAAUUAUUUCAAAGAAAGUUUCUUGCUUUAUUUUUCCUAUUAUUUAUUAAUAUAAAGAGUUUGAUACAGCUAAUCUAUUAGACGAGUAAUUAUCUAGAUUAUAAUAUCAGCUCUUAUUUAUGAGAUUCAUUAUGAAUGUCAUUUUUAUUAGUUCAUUGACAUAUUGAGAAAAAUUAAAUUUUAACAAUUAUUAGAAUCAAUUUUAAGGCACAAUUAGUUUUUUACUAAUUGA